ACUGCAGUCCACAGUACCCGCUGCCCAUGUGCCAGGACAGAAGUCUACAGUAGCCAACAGCCCAACACAUCCAUCCAUCCACCGGCCGUCAUGCCGCUCCGGCGCCUCCUGGACCUCUCCGCCACCGUCUCCGACCUGCUCCGCCGCUCCCUCUCCACCGCCGCCGCCCCCUCGCACCCACCAUGGGCGAUCGUCGACUACACGUCCAUGGUGGACCGCUCCUCGUCGGCCCCGGGCGCGUGCUUCCACCCCGUCGCGCCCCCGGGCAUCUCCCACGUCACGGCCCCGGCGCACCUCGUCAGCCCCAGGGCGCGCCCCGCCCCCGACACCAACGUCGUCCAGGUCCUCUUCGGCAACGUCGGCGCCGCCAGCGGCGACGGCCACCUCCUCCUCAGCUACCACGACCUCCGGGCGGAGGGCCCCUGCACCACCUGGGACCUGUCCGCGCCCCCGGAAAUCCAGCGCUUCGUCUGCAACCCCCUCACCGGCCAGAUGCUCCGCCUGCCGGACAUUGGCGGCUCCCGGAGGACCCUCGUCUUCCACCACAUGGGCCUCCUCACCCAGGCCGACGGCUGGCUCGGGCGCGGGCCGCCCCACAGAUUCGCCGUCGCCGAGCUUGCCUUCCAUGGCGCCGGCCUCGAGCGGUUUCUCUCGGAGAAAGGGGAGUGGGAGACGGUGAUGGGCGUGCCGUGCGGGCCGCCGCCCCCGCGCGGGAUGGAGGUCAACCAGGAGACGGUUGCCUUCGGCGGCCGCCUGUGGUGGGUCGACCUCACCUUGGGCGCCGUCUCCGUCGACCCCUUCGCCGACCGGCCGGAGAUCCGCUUCGUCGAGCUGCCCAGCGGCAGCGUGCUGCCUGCGCGUGCUCGUACGGAAGAGGAUGGAGAUCUCAGGAAGGUCGAUGACCGGGGGCUCUUCUUGCGGGAGGUGGCCAAGCACCGGCGCAUUGGCGUGAGCAAGGGGCGGCUGCGCUACGCCGAGGUCUCUCCUCACGACCCGUUCCUGCUCAGCUCCUUUGCGCUCGACGGCGACGAGGGCGGCGGCUGGACGCUGGAGCACCAGGUGGAGCUCAGACAGGUGUUGGCGGACGGAGGCUACCCGUGGCAGGAGAACUCGGCGCAGGCGGCGCCGCAGAUCGUCGUCCUUGACCCGCUGAACGCCAACGCCAUCUACCUCAAGGUCGGCGAGCACGUCGUCGUGGUGGACAUGCACAACGGCAAGGUGAUAGGGGCCUCUCCGCUUCAGGACGAGUACUCUCUUGUGCCGUGCGUGCUCCCGCCAUGGCUUGCAUCGAGCACGAUCCCUACGGCAGGCAAGAAGGAUGGCAUGGAACCGACAGAUGAUCCGGUUAAUUUGUCUUAGAUAUGAUCAAUGGGUAUGCAUUAAUCUACCAGCCAGCUUAUGUAUCUCUGGGUUUCAUGGAACUAAUACUAGAUGGAGGGUUGAACAAAUACUAGGAAGGAAGCUGGCGGUAGUUUGUCAAACUCUCAUUUUGGUGGGAAUCUGAAGAAGUAUGGGUUUAUCGUAGGUUACUGAUUAAUUACUACUUCCUCCAUCCGGAAUUAGUUGAUUCUCAAACGGGUGUAUCUAGCAUUAAAAUACGUCUAGAUACAUCCGUUUGAACGUCUACUAAUUCCAAACGGAGGGAGUAUCUUGUUUCGAGGGAAAUCUGGUAGCUGUUCCGGCCGCCAAACUAGGACAUUCCAGUAGAACUAAAUUAAAUCUGGCAGUUGUUUCGUUCACGAAAAUGACUCUCAAGUCCUUGCCAAGUUUGCGGAAUGAAGGUAAUUUUCACUGUUGUGAAGCUGCAUACUGCCAUCUUAUCUGACAUCAAAGAGCUGCUUAUGAUGUUUAGCAA
Triticum aestivum (bread wheat) is the source of this 1855-nucleotide RNA transcript. RefSeq lists it as uncharacterized. NCBI's taxonomy places the organism in Eukaryota, Viridiplantae, Streptophyta, Magnoliopsida, Poales, Poaceae. The record is from RefSeq and is a predicted model, not a curated record. The transcript is spliced from 3 exons.